RNAcentral lists this long non-coding RNA (6019 nucleotides) under Nicotiana tabacum (common tobacco). RNAcentral's name for it is "long non-coding RNA (NTAB_LNC014095)". The record is from RNAcentral. Lineage: Eukaryota; Viridiplantae; Streptophyta; Magnoliopsida; Solanales; Solanaceae.
AUUUCUUGUGUCUUGUAAUAGUCCAUGUGAGCACUUAAUUUUUGACCAGCUUGAAUUUUCCCCACUCAUCUCCUUAUCACAUUAUAUAAACACACACCGAGAACACGAAAAUGGAAGAAGCUGAAAAAUCGCUUAAAAACGAGAGAAAAACGGAGGGACAAAAAAUAGAGUGAGAAUCCACUGCUUCUUCACCAAAGAACCAGUGAAAUCUCCCACAAAAUUUCAGCUUAAAACUAGCUAAAAACAGUCCUUAAAUAGAUCCCAAAUCAGUCCCACAACAGUCCCAUAUUUCCACUUGAGACCAGCCUCUAAGUCCACCUUGAACCCACUUGAAAACUCCAUUAAAAUCAAUGGCAAAAACAGUCCAAAUCUCUGCCAUUAAAAACGUCCAGGCCUAGUCGAGUACGUCCGAGGUUCGUCAAAUUCCGGCGAUCUUCGAAGUCGAGGUUCCAAAGUCACGGUCUUGGUCAUCUUUCAGUUUUGAGCAAACAAAGUCAGAUUUUCCUUGCUAAAAGGUUAUUUUGCACUCUACUAAUCUUCCUCGUUAAAACACUGCUGCGAUGUCUUGGUUAAGUGGCUUUGAGUUUGAAUAAAAUGUCACAUUUCUGAUAAGCAUGUUAUUAAUUUUAAUUUAAUCUUUUGUUUGCUCACACCAUGUUUAGUAUUUGUCUUUGGUAAAUGCUUAGUAGAUUGUAUUUGUUAGUAUGCGGAUGAACGUCUUUGUUUAUUGCUUGAACAAGAAAGAAUGUAGUUUGUUUAUUAGAAAUUAGAAUUCUGUCGUAAGAGCCGUGAAUUUUUCUAUUAAGAAUUAAAAACACUUUCGAUUGUUCCAUUUUGUUAAAUAUCCUAAAUUAAUCGGUUGAGUGUUUGGUUGAUGAAAGUUUAUUAAAGAUCCAUCCCUACCGUAUUCAAUUGUUUCAUUCAUGUCAUUCACUGUUCACUCCCUUAUGGCUUAGUCUUCUUAGAUAUUUGAUUAUUACUAUAGGAGUAUUAAUUUAGUCACAUAAUUUUUAACAAAAUUAGUUUUUUUAGGAAAAGAAUUCAUCGUACCUUGCUUUAGUCGCGAUUAAUAAUAAAUCAUCGUAACUAUGAGUACGGUUUCUGUGGCAUAGUCAUGAUACGUAAAUCCCAAUUCGAGUAUGUGUUCACGCGACUUGACCAAAACUUCAAAUAAUAAUAAUAAUAAUAAACAUAUUGUAAAUUCCGGGUGCAUUUUACGUGGCGCGGUUUGCAAUGUGUACCAAAACGACAAGUGUACGAUAUCGUAACUAAUUCAAAAAUAACUCUAUAAAUACUAAAAGCGGUUAAAUAAAUAAUUAAAAACGGUAAUGCAUGAAAGGUUUUAAACAUGUAAUGAUUCAGAUAAUUAAGCCAUGUGUAAUUGUAAAUCGAUCGUGCUAAAAUCACGGAAUCCGGGAGUGACUCACACCUUCUCCCGGGUUAACAGAAUUCCUUACCAUGUCUUCUGGUUUUCGCGGACUUUAAAACAAAGUCAAAUUUCCUUGAUUUAGGAUUUAAAAUAAACCAGUGACUUGGGACACCAUAAAUUAUUCCUAGUGGCGACUCUAAUUUAUAUAAAUAAUCUUAUUUCGAACAAUGUCACUUUAAUUGAAAACCCCCCCUAUUCCCUCGGGAAAAAUAAGGUGUGACAGCUCUGGCGAUUCUACUGGGAAAAGAACCCAGAACUUCUGGUUCAGGGUCCAGAAUUCGAGCUUAGAAUAACUAUUAUAUUUGGCUUUGGUUUAUUAUCUGAUUUUUACAUGUUUGAGCCUAAUGUGCUAAAUCCCGCUUUUUACCGCUUUGAUAUUGUAUGAAGUGUAUAUAAAAUUGUUACGGCACCCUUCUUCUCUCUAAGUCUUCUAAAUCUUCUGGGAGCAUGCGCUUCGCAUGACUUCUUUUCUGUUAGAGUCAUACCCCUAAUUUUAGAACGAGGAUCGGACAAGUUACAAAGACGGUAAAACUUUUGUAUUCCCCCCCCCCCUCCCUUUCCCGACUCGAGUUGUCCGCUCGGGUAAGCCAGGUAUAGAAUAACACAUCCCAGGAUUUAAACCUAGAAUAACAUAGCCGCAUGCCGAAUACCUAGUAGGAACGUUUGUUUGCAUCACGUGCAUUUGAUUUUGCUCCAAUAUAAAAGACCAUCUUGAUACAUUUUACGUGUUACUUGUGCAUUUUUUUUAUUUUGGCUUGCAGGUUGACAGACUUCUAGAAUAGGGAAAGAAAACCAAAAAAAACAGAAAAGAGAAAAUUGACCUGGUUCCUGAAAAUCCCAGUAUUUUUAAAAAAGAAAAAAAAGAUUCUGAAACUCUAACGAAUUUUUAGAAGGUGGUCACAAAUGACUCCAGAUUUUCAAAAAUGACAUUUUUCCCCAGUCCUGAAAAACUAACCGAACUACGCGGGUCUGAUUCUCACCGGAUGUGAGAUACGUAGGCAAACCUCAUCGGUUCCAACCCCGAUUUUCAAAAAAAAAAAAUUCAAAAAUAUUUUCCCUUCCCUUAAUUCCCUUCAAAAAUAGAAUUCUUUCCUUAGAAAAUCCAAAAAGAAAAAUUUAAAUCCAAAAAUAUUUUCUUUCUUUUCCAAAGUCUUUCAUUCGAAAAAAAAAAUUUCAAAUCAAAGUUCAAAGUAUUUUCUUCCUCUUUAGAAUUCUUUCUUUUAAAAAGAAAAAUUUCAAAUUCCAUAAAACAAAACUAAAAAAAUAUAUUUAAAAAUCUUUAUAAAAAAAAAGAAAAAGAAAAAUGGGAUCGGGUUCAUUCAACCCGCAAGAUCGGCGUCAUGAUACGUAGGCAAUCCUCAUCGGAUUCGAUCAUAACCAUUAAUAAACCGUGUGAAAAAAAAAUAGAAAAAGAAAAAGAAAGAAAGGAGUGACAAAAAAAUAACAAAGAGCAAAAAAAGAAAAAAAUCAAGAGCGAAAAAUAGAACUCUUUGUCCAAUUUGAAAAAGAAAAUCGUGGAAAACUUGUAUGGGUAUACUGUCAAAUGGUGCGAGCAAGCCGACAGGGAAAAACCUCCAAUGGACGAAGCAUAAAUGGUUAUGGUCUUUCUACAUGCGCAAGAGGCGGACUACUUCCGGAACAUGAUGGUAACCCGUUUGCCGAAGCUAUCAAAAUUGGGGAGAUGAUCGAAAAUGAUUUAAAAACAGGUCGAAUCUUGAGUCAUGCUGCCUUUAAGGCCACAUGGCAGACCGUUCAAAUUGGUUCGGGGGUGUUUGAUGAAUAUAACUAGGGAGGAAGAGGGAACCAUGAUGGCUUUGAGCUCGAGGGGGCCCGCAAGUUAUUCAACCAAUCAUAUAUGCUUCCUAAAGUCCCACAACACUAUUAUCCCCAUCAAUAUGAUGCUUAUUCCAUGACACUGCCUCCCUAUACAGUGAUGAGUGCGCAACCUUACACGCGGCUAGAGCAUUAUACACAAAACCGAGCUUCACAUCCCAAAAAUUCCCGACCCUACCAAGCUCCAUAUAAUCCCCAACCAAAUGUUCCCCAAUAUAAUCCUCGCCCAAGAGAUCCCCUCAGAAGGCAUCAGUUCAUCCCAAUUGAUGAAUCAUAUUCAAGUUCGUUUCAAAAGGUAAUCGGACUAGGUCUGCUGCAGCCAGUGGCCCCGAAGCGGCCAAACCCCGAGUCCCCCUUGCACCAAGCUGAUGCUGGAUGUGAAUACCACUCUAGAGCAGUGAGUGUUACACCAUGUGCGUCCCAAGGUGGCGUAAUGAAUAUGAAACUUAUUAAUUAUUAUUUAAAUGAUUUUAAAGUCAUAAUAUGGCUAUAUAUGAUAUUUGGAUAGAAAAUAUGAAGUUUGGGAAAUAUCGAAUUAAAGUUGCGGAAAAAGCGACUAAAGAUUUGGCUUGUAACAGAGCUUUUUGAGAAAUAAAAUUUAUGUGCUAUAUGUAUUCUUUUUGGGACAUAUUAUAUACCAAAUUGAAGGUCUUGGAAUUUAGUUUCCAAUGCUCUUAACCGUUCGUUCAUACGACACCCAAAUAAAAAGUUAUAAGCGUUGGAAGAAGGACCAAUGCUAGGGUGCCAAGUAGCACCUUUUGACUUUUCAAACAAAAUGGAUAUUUAUAUCUUUAUCUCGUUUCAUUCUUCAAUUUUCCAGAACACACAACCAAAUAAGACCCCUAACUUUACUCUUAAGCUAAGAUUAUCAUUCCGGGCACGAAAUCAAGAAACGAUAAUAUUUAAACGAUCCCUAUGGCGUAAGUAUCGCUAUAUCGCCUCUAUUUUUCUUUGUAGUUUGAGUUUUGGAAGGUACUUCAUAGUUAAUAAAACAUGUACUUUCUGUAUUUAAGUGUUUAAAUAUCAAGAAAGGUUGAUAAAUUCGUUUUCUAAUAGGUAGAACUCACGGGACAGUGAUCGGAAGCCGUGAGUUCGAGUUAUUCACUUGUAGCGGACUGUUUUGUGGAUUAUUUUUUGUUGUGGUUGGGCUGCGUGUUUUACUUCUAUUUUUUGGAGUUUUGGAGGAGUAAGUCUGUGUAGAAACACCACAUAAAUUCAGGGUAGUGCGCUAGUUGUUCGUCGUAAUAAUUUUGGGCUGUUUGACACUACUACGGUGGUCGUUUUGUGUAUGAAGAGAUUGGGAUGUGUUGGGCUAUUUGUAAUAUUUUGUGGUGUAUAUAAGGCUGUAAAAUAAUGUAUAAAUGUUGAUAUUGUUAUGUUUGGUGUUAUCUUAAAGUUGAAGAAAGUAAGGAUUAUAGGGGAGAUGCUUCCCGUUUUAAUACAAAAUAAGCUUGUCGUUCGUUGUGCGAUAGUUGUACUUUUCGUAACUUAAUGAUAGUAUUAUUAUUAUUGUUGUUGUAGAUUAAGGUACGAAGAGGAGAGUUCAACUUGGUGAUUGGAAAGAUUGUGAUAAGGUAUGUUAAGGCUAUCACUUCUUUCCUUUUUGGCAUGAUCCAUAUGAUGCAAGAAAUGAGCAAGUAUACAACUUUCACAAAUAAUUCUAUUCCUAGAAGUACUAGGUUUGCCUAUAUUCUUGAUUCCCCAUAUGUCCUACUAUCAUAUCGUUUGUUCACGAAUCUUAUGAUAUUCCGAGUGAUCUUAUUGACUUACUUCAUUAUGUAUUGCAUCCAUUUAUACAUGUACAUUAACCCAUGAUCAGAUGACGUUAUAUACACGUAUAUUAUAUGUAUAUGAGGUAUGAGAAAAGGUUAUGGUGUUAUAUACGCACCACCACCUGAUCAGCUGAUAUACGUUGAUGAUUUUGCCCACAGCGACUGAGAUGAUAUGAUGGGAUACCCCCAGAGGCUUGAUGAUAUUAUGUACGCAUAUACCUAUGCAUGAUAUGACAUUUAUAUGCACAUACAUGACAUUAUAAAUUUUUCAUGAUUCACAGAGCUAUUCAGACUUGCAGGUUGAGUUCCUUACUCCAUAUUUCUUUCAUGCCUUACAUACUCGGUACUUUAUUUGUACCGACGUCCAUUUUUCCUGGGGACGCUGUGUUUGAUGCCCGCAGAUCCCGAUAGACAGGUUGAGAGUUCUCCUAGUAGGCUAUCUGCUCAGCAGAAGGUGUUUGUGCACUCCACUUGUUCCGGAGUUUCCUAUUUGGUUAGUAUAAUUUGAAUAUGUAUUGAUUGGUAUGGCGGGGCCUUGUCCCGACCUUUAUGAUGUUUAUGUAGUAUUAGAGACUCUUAGACAAAUGUCACGUAUAUGGAUACGUGUAUGGCCUUAUCAGCCUAUGUUUUGAGUAUACAAAUGAUCAUGUCGGCCUUAUAGGCCCGUAUGUCACAUGCAUGAGUUUUUAUAUCAUGUUGGGUCGUCCUAUGUCUAGUAUUCCCUUAUGUUUUAUUCUCGUUAUCUCAUGACGGACCUUCUGGGCCACUUACCCAUGACGGUAUGAUAAGAAAGAUAUGUUACAUUAGUACUCGGUUGUGUAAGGCACCGGGUGCCCGUCGCGGCCCUACAGUUUGGAUCGUGACAAAAGUGGUAUCAGAGAAGUUCUAUCCUAGGGAGUCUACAAGCCGUGUCUAGUAGAGUCUUGUUUAUGGGUGUGUACUACACCAUACUUAUAAGCAGGAGGUUACAUGGAAUUUAGGAUUG